This is an RNA transcript of Hyposmocoma kahamanoa, 885 nucleotides long. It is a transcript of the gene named locomotion-related protein Hikaru genki-like, with no coding region annotated. Lineage: Eukaryota; Metazoa; Arthropoda; Insecta; Lepidoptera; Cosmopterigidae. The transcript has 8 exons. The record is from RefSeq and is a predicted model, not a curated record.
GCCCAUUCACUACUUGGAUAGCAGUCGGUCGCACAGGCAAGGAGGUGCUCACACACUAUCCUACGUAUGGCCCAGCAUCAGUUUUGUUGAAAAUCUUGUUCUUUUAUAUGCUAAAAUUGGUGUUAAACGAAAAUGCAAUUCGACGUAUUGCUGUUCUUGUGUCUAGGUGUGGUAUUUUGUCAAGAAGACGGCAGUACAACUUUACCGCGAGAUGAAUUCAAAUGUUCCCUACCUGAUGUUAGAAGCCUUGACGACAAUUUGGACGUUUUAAGAUUUCAGGCCGAUUUUUCGAAAAUAUCUGAGGUCAAGUUUCCAGGGGUCAUAGGUCCACUGAAUGAACGUUUGAUUUGUAAGAUAAAAUGUAUAGAUGGCAACUGGGUUGGCCCACUGUGCUCAGAAACACCAGAUGGUAGAUUCCAACCUGUGCUCAGAGAAUGCCUGUAUAAAAAUGAUCAUUCAUUACUAGCCAUUUCUUUUAAAAAUUCCUCUAUUGAUAAGGAGACUCACUUCCCCCAUGGUUCAUUGAUCAUAGCGCGCUGUAAGCAGUUUGGGUUGUACAAGAUGAAAGGUGACAGUACUCUGCAUUGUGAGAAUGGCGAAUGGACACCCAAGUUUCCAGAAUGCGUACCCACUACAGUCAUCACCAACUUCACUGGCCAUACGGGUUGGGGACUUCACAAGUUUUCAGAGUUGUGAACCUCCUUUGAACUGACACAUGGAAAUGGGAAGAAAAGCGAUUAAACAAGAAAAGGGGAUGCGCCACCUACAAUCCAGUACACGGUAGUAAGUGGGUCAGCGGUAGUGGAGCCGUCAGGUGAGCUUCUCGUCUAUCCGGACGCCACGCUUCGGCUCGACUGCGUGUCUGCGCGCGCGCUCGGAGACCCU